RNAcentral lists this long non-coding RNA (4155 nucleotides) under Elaeis guineensis (African oil palm). RNAcentral describes it as "long non-coding RNA (EGUI_LNC049083)". The record is from RNAcentral. Lineage: Eukaryota; Viridiplantae; Streptophyta; Magnoliopsida; Arecales; Arecaceae.
GCUAUUAUUAGGAUGAUAGUGAUAUCAAGUGUAGGUCGUUGUGUGCCAUAUGCGUUGGUUAUCCUCAUAACCAAAUGGUGUGGAGAUACUGAUAUGGCAUGCAAGUAAGAUGUAGGAGUACAUCUCAUUGAACAUGACCAACUACGAAGCACUCUGCUGUCAAGAAUAGCUCGUGAAGGGUAUGGAUAUAAAUAUCUCUCUGACCUGAGAUCACCAUGGUGACUUGCAAGCAACUCACUGUACUUUGGUGUCAGACUAACUCAGUUUCUAAUUCAGUGACGGAAGAUUUCUGGAUGCAGUUAAGUAUUUAUCAAGUUGGUGCAUGAGUCAAGAUGGGAUUGACCCCUCUGAAUUAGUAGGAGUUAAUGUAUCAAUGUAUUUUAAUUUAGCAAAAUCUGAGUCUGGAUAAUCCAUAUGAUCGAUUUGAAAGAUUGAAAUAUAAUGUGGAUGACUUAUUUAGGAUUGACAGUUAAAUCCUAGGUCAUCCUCGAGCAUUAGGAUUAAAAGGAUGAAUUAUACGAUAACCAUACAUCAAUAGAUUUUUGAAUGUUGCUUCAUCUUCAUUCAACCUAUUCGGACGUCGGAUCAUCAUUGCUAGAUGGUUACAUCGAUUGAUUGAAAAAUUUAUUCUGGUGCUAUCGACUUAGAUUCAAAUCUAUAGAGUCACACUUAAAAAAAAUUUUGACUGAUCAUGUGGCUAAUCAAUGAUUGAGAAUUAUUCAAGGGCUUAAUUGUUAAUUCGAUUGAUGAUUAACUUUAUGCAAAAGUUGUAAUAAAUUAAUUUACCAAGUGUUAGUGAAUUAAUAGAGGAUUAACUAGCAAUUAAAUUGCUGAUUAGCUCAAUUUGAUUGAGUAAAGAGGAUUAAAUAAAAUCUAAUUGAAUUAAAUUCNNNNNNNNNNNNNNNNNNNNAAAAGAGUUGUGCUUGGACUAAGGAGCCUAAACUGACAAAAGAGUCUAAGGUUAACUUAGUCUGGCAGAGUCUCUUGAUCCGAAUAGGCUAAGGAAGAGAAAUCAGCAAAGGAUUAUUGAAUAAGGUAUUUAUAUGAUAAGAUCUUAUGAUUUCUCUAUCUGUGACACUACUAUCUGGUAUUGGAUGUCGGAAGUCCAUGCAAAUUAUUGCAAUGACUUCAGAUUAGUAAAAAAUUUGAAAACAGCAAGAGGUUCCUGAAUGUUGGAGAUAGAAGUUAUGUUUCAAUCCUGAUUUUAGAAAUCAUCGAGCCUAUUUUCAAUUCUAAUAAUAUUAUUUUUAGUGUUACUAUUGUCUAAUAAUUUUUGUGAUAUUAUUAUUAAUGAUGUCAAAAUCAUGUAGACAAUUGAGAAAUGAUAUUUAUGAAUAGUCACUGUCUGUUAGUGUAUAGUACACAACAAACAAACAUCCUAAAAUAGAUGUUGUCACAGAUAUCUACUUUUAGUAAUUUAGGCUUGAUCAUAUAAAUAAGAAUAGGAUCAACAAGAUAAUUCUCAAAGUCAAUGAUUGUGAAUCAUUGUCAACCUGUCAAUCCUAUCUCCUCAGUAAGAUGACCAAGUCACCUUUUGCUGGAAAAAGUGAAUGACCUAAUAAUAUUCUUAGUCUGAUACAUAUUGAUGUAUUAGAUCUAUGAAUAUGUUUGCCAUAAAUUUGAUUUAUUUGAAAUGUUCAAACAAUUCCAUAAUAAGAUAGAGAAAUAAACUGAGAAGAGCAUUGAAACUCUUUAGUCAGACCAAGAAGGAGAAUAUUUUUCUGGUGAGUUUUUGACAUAUCUAGAAGAGAAUAAGAUUCUCUCUUAAUGGAAUCAACUUUGUUACACAUAAUUCUAUCCAUGAUAGGAUUUACAAAUCUGCCAAACUCCUUUUAGGGUUAUGCUCUUAAGACUCUUGUCGUGUUCUGAAUUGGAUUUCAAAUUAAUCAGUUGCAAAGACUCCAUAUGAGAUAUGGACUAGGCAUAAAUCGAUACUUUCUUACCUUAGAGUUUGAGAGUGUUUAUUUAAUAUCAAGCAUUUGCGGAUCGAUUAGCUUGGAUCCCGAUCCUAUAUGUAUUAUUUUGUAGGAUAAUCCUAAAGAAUCUAAGGGAUAUAACUUCUACCUUGCUCAAAAAUAAAAGUUGUUCGGCAUUCUUUUUAAAAAGAGAGUACCUUAGUGAAGGAACUGAUACCUUUAAUAUGAAACUUAUGAAGUUCGACAAAUAAAAAAAUCGAUACAAUCUAGUAAAUCCAAAGAACCGACACAAUCUAGUAAAUCCAAAGAACUGAAUUUGAUUAGAUCAAAUCUGAAAUCUAUUUUAAAGGCAUCAUUAAAGAGAUUCGAUAGAGUACCACAUCCGUUGGAUAGAUACUUCAGUUUCUAAGUCCGAAACGUGAUCCUGUUGAACUCGAUGAGAACAACAAAGAUCUAAUCACCUACAUAGAUGCCAUACAGAGAUCCGACUCUAAUUAAUAGCUUGAAGUCAUAAAGUCCGAAAUAGAGUCCAUAAUGAUCAAUGGUGUAUGAACACUCAUUGAUCCACUUGAAAGAAUAAAGCCCAUAGAGUGUAAGUGAAUCUUUAAUAGGAUCAGAAGGUGCAGACGAGAAGGUGAAGACCUACAAAGUCUAUCUGGUUGCCUAAGAAUAUUGGCAACAUUAUGGUAUUGACCAUAACGAGAUAAUUUCUCUUGUAGCAAUGCUGAAAUAUUUCGAAGUUGGAACAUAUAUUUUGAUAAAUGAUCAAAAUACAUGGCUUUGUUGAGAAUGAAGAAGAAUCCUGUAAAAACAAAUGGAUUAAUAGUUCUAUGAGUAUAUUUCUUAUUUUGUAUGUGAAUAAAAUUUUCUUAAUCAAAAAUGACAUUCCUUACAUUACAGGGAAUAAAAGUUUCACCGUUAUCAUUGCUUCUCCAUAAAGGACUUUGGAAAAAGCAUUCAUCAUCCUAGGGAUGAAGAUCUAUAGAGAUAGAUCUAAGAGGGUGCUUGGGUUAUUCCAGUCCAACGUAUAUAGAGUAUUUAUUAGUAGAAUUUAUUCUAUUAUGAACACCAUAUAUGAGACUGGAUAUGGUACACUCACUAUAGCAGUGAGUGGAUAUCUGUAAGAUUUGGAUAAGAAUCACUGGAAGGUCAUCUUAAGUAUUUGAGAAAUACUAAGGACCGACGAUUCGAUUAUGGAGAAUCUGACUUAAAAUUUAUAAAGUAUGAUUUUAAUUUUUAGUUGGACAUAAUAAUAGCAAGAACAUAUCUGAAUACAUCUUUAUCCUAAAUAAUAGAGUAAUCUAUUAAAAAGUUUCAAGCAGAACAAUAUAGCCAAUUUAAUUUGCAAUGCAGAAUACAUUGCAGCAUCCGAUGCUUGCAAGAAAGCUAUAUGAUUGUACAAGUUCAUUGGCAAGCUAGGAGUGGCACCUCCCAAUGAUGGUCCUAUUGUAUUGUAUAGCAUCGGAGCCAUAGCUCAUACCAAGAAGCUGAAGUCCCAUUAGCUUACCAAGCAUUUUGCAUCGCUACCACCUUAUUCAAAAAUCUGUUAAGGUGAUGUCGAACUUUAAAAGAUCGAUGGAAAGGAGAAUAUGACCAACCUAUUUACUAAAGUCUCGAUAUCUAGGAGUUCUGAGAUGAUAAAUUGAAGAUGGAUAUAUGAUACUAUACUGAUUGACUUUAGUCCAAGUGGAAGUUGUUGGAAAAUAUAUCCUAAAGUCAAUCAUUUGAUGAUUAUGCUAAUUAUAAAUAUAUAUGAAUUGAUAAAUAAUAAAAAUUAUUUGAUCUUUUUUAUCACAAGGUUACAUCUUCUAACGAACUUCUAUAUUGUGAUGAGGUCCUUAGGAUUAUUUUAAUCGAUAAAAGAGGAUUUAUCAUGUAAUCCUUAAACUAGUUCACGAUCAAAUGAUAUGCUAUUAUUAGGAUGAUAGUGAUAUCAAGUGUAGGUCGUUGUGUGCCAUAUGCGUUGGUUAUCCUCAUAACCAAAUGAUGUGGAGAUACUGAUAUGGCAUGCAAGUGAGAUAUAGGAGUACAUCUCAUUGAACAUGACCAACUACGAAGCAUUCUGCUGUCAAGAAUAGCUCGUGAAGGGUAUGGAUAUAAAUAUCCCUCUGACCUGAGAUCACCACGGUGACUUGCAAGCAACUCACCGUACUUUGGUGUCAGACUAACUCAGUUUCUAAUUCAGUGACGGAAGGUUUCUGGAUGCAGUCAAGUAUUUAUCAAGUUUGUGCAUGAGUCA